AUUGAACGCUGGCGGCAUGCUUUACACAUGCAAGUCGAACGGUAACAGGCCGCAAGGUGCUGACGAGUGGCGAACGGGUGAGUAAUGCAUCGGAACGUGCCCAGUCGUGGGGGAUAACGCAGCGAAAGCUGUGCUAAUACCGCAUACGAUCUAUGGAUGAAAGCGGGGGACCGUAAGGCCUCGCGCGAUUGGAGCGGCCGAUGUCAGAUUAGGUAGUUGGUGGGGUAAAGGCCUACCAAGCCGACGAUCUGGAGCUGGUCUGAGAGGACGACCAGCCACAUUGGGACUGAGAAACGGCCCAGACUCCUACGGGAGGCAGCAGUGGGGAAUGUUGGACAAUGGGCGCAAGCCUGAUCCAGCAAUGCCGCGUGCAGGAAGAAGGCCUUCGGGUUGUAAACUGCUUUUGUACGGAACGAAACGGUCUGGGUUAAUACCCUGGGCUAAUGACGGUACCGUAAGAAUAAGCACCGGCUAACUACGUGCCAGCAGCCGCGGUAA
Molecule: ribosomal RNA, 498 nt
Filed under: uncultured bacterium
Lineage: Bacteria
Description: partial 16S ribosomal RNA
Rfam family: Bacterial small subunit ribosomal RNA
Source: RNAcentral